RNAcentral lists this ribosomal RNA (663 nucleotides) under uncultured organism. RNAcentral's name for it is "bacterial SSU rRNA". It matches the Rfam family "Bacterial small subunit ribosomal RNA", at positions 1 to 663 of the family's 1533-position model. The record is from RNAcentral.
GGCUUAGAGUUUGAUCAUGGCUCAGGAUGAACGCUGGCGGCAUGCCUAACACAUGCAAGUCGAACGGAGCACCCCUGACGGAGUUUUCGGACAACUGAAGGGAAUGCUUAGUGGCGGACGGGUGAGUAACGCGUGAGGAACCUGCCUUUCAGUGGGGGAUAACACAUCGAAAGAUGUGCUAAUACCGCAUAACAUAGCAAUGGGGCAUCCCAUUGCUAUCAAAGAUUUAUUGCUGAAAGAUGGCCUCGCGUCCAAUUAGCUAGUUGGUGAGGUAACGGCCCACCAAGGCGACGAUUGGUAGCCGGACUGAGAGGUUGAACGGCCACAUUGGGACUGAGACACGGCCCAGACUCCUACGGGAGGCAGCAGUGGGGAAUAUUGCACAAUGGGGGAAACCCUGAUGCAGCAAUGCCGCGUGAAGGAUGAAGGUUUUCGGAUUGUAAACUUCUUUUGUACGGGACGAAACAAAUGACGGUACCGUAAGAAUAAGCCACGGCUAACUACGUGCCAGCAGCCGCGGUAAUACGUAGGUGGCAAGCGUUAUCCGGAUUUACUGGGUGUAAAGGGCGAGUAGGCGGGAUUGCAAGUCAGAUGUGAAAACUAUGGGCUCAACCCAUAGACUGCAUUUGAAACUGUAGUUCUUGAGUGAUGGAGAGGCAGGCG